This 660-nucleotide ribosomal RNA is filed under the name Triticum aestivum (bread wheat). RNAcentral's name for it is "partial small subunit ribosomal RNA". The record is from RNAcentral. Lineage: Eukaryota; Viridiplantae; Streptophyta; Magnoliopsida; Poales; Poaceae.
AUGGCACUCAUUGAUCGCCAUCCACCCUCUAGUGACACCGUUAGCACGUUGCCAGUGGGUAUUCAGACGGUCCUCAAUGAGUACAGCGACGUGUUUGCAGAACCAAAGAAACUGCCACCACACCAUCAAUAUGAUCAUGCCAUUACAUUGGUGGAAGGAGCACAACCAGCAAACUCACGACCCUACCGAUACUCGCCAUUGCAGAAAGAUGAGAUCGAGCGGCAAGUCAGAGAAAUGCUUAACUCCGGGGUGAUCACGCACAGCAUGAGCCCUUACGCAGCCCCGGUUCUCUUGGUAAAAAAGAAGGAUGGCUCAUGGCGCUUCUGCGUCGACUAUCGUCGCCUAAACGACACCACUGUGAAGAAUCGUUUUCCCCUUCCCAUCGUAGAUGAGUUGCUGGAUGAACUUGCUGGUGCCCGGUAUUUUUCCAAACUUGAUUUACGGGCGGGCUACCACCAAAUACGGAUGAGAGAAGGCGACGAAGAAAAGACGGCAUUCAAGACUCACCAUGGACACUUCCAUUUUCGAGUCAUGCCGUUCGGCUUGACAAACGCACCAGCCACCUUUCAGUGCCUCAUGAACCAGAUCUUCUCCAAGUAUGUACGCAAGUUUGUGAUCAUUUUUCUCGAUGACAUCUUGGUGUUUAGUGAAUCACUAUAG